UUGUUUCUCCUUUUAGUUACUSACUAAAAUCCAUGAUAUGUAUAGCAAGUGGCUGCCUCUGGAGAAUUAAUGUAGGAUCACUUGUCCUGGCAGAUUUGAAGGGAGGAAAAGAAAUUGUUUUAUCAAUAAAUAAAGAGAUGAUGAAAGAAACCCAUUGGCUUUGAAUCCUCCCAGCACCUUUCUGUACCUUAUUCCAAGUGGAGCUCAAUUCAAACUCCUAUAGAUGCCCCUUCUAUUUCUGAAAAAAACAGCAGCCCUCAUGGCAUGAAAUCUUCUGGAAUGACAAGCUCAAAAAGAUGUUUU
This is a long non-coding RNA of Nothoprocta perdicaria, 303 nucleotides long. RefSeq lists it as uncharacterized. NCBI's taxonomy places the organism in Eukaryota, Metazoa, Chordata, Aves, Tinamiformes, Tinamidae. The transcript is spliced from 3 exons. The record is from RefSeq and is a predicted model, not a curated record.